ACACUUUCUGCAAUGCCUACCAUCUCAAGUUAAAAAAAAAAGUCUCAAAUAUUGCCUUAAUAUAAAAUGGCUCGAAUAAGGCAUAUAAUAUUUUUGUCAUAUAAAAUAUUGUAUAUUGACAGCAAUAUCCCAGUGGCUGAUUUAUUGAUAAUAUCUUUGACCUUUAGAACCUUUUUUUUUCUAUUAUAUAUAAGGAAAUACAAACUAGGUAACAGGAAGAAAUGAGAAAAGGUAGAAAGAGACAAUAGUGAAGACUGGUCGACACUGGAGUACAAAAGAUUACUGCAGGAUUGUUCUAUGAAGCUGAUUACAGCAGCUUUAUCUUAUCAAGCUUUGGCAUUGAAGACCAUGUGAAUUCAUCUACAACCCUGGUAGUGAAAUAAGAACAUUUUUUGUUUCUGAAAUUUUAAGCUCUUUGCGGACACACUUUUUACUUAAUCUGCAUGACAUCAGAGAAAGAGACUUACCAGCUUCUGAAACCAAAAGAAGAGCAUCCCAGAGAAAGUAUGCAUGGAAGCACCGAGAAGCACAGAGGGAAUCAAAGCCAAAUGGCUGUAUGUAUCCCAUCUUCAUUGGCUGAAUCCUUCGAGGCUUCAGCCUGCUGUGAAAAAACAUUUCAUUCAUUCCACAGUUUGAUUCACCUGGUUCUUCUUUGGCUUCUCAUGACGAUCUAUCUUCAGAAAAAAGUGCAGUGACCAUGCCACAUGAAUAUGGAAGUCUUUGUAACACAUUUUCAUUAUAUUUUCAUGCUCAUUGA
Non-coding RNA from Macaca mulatta (Rhesus monkey), 757 nucleotides. NCBI's taxonomy places the organism in Eukaryota, Metazoa, Chordata, Mammalia, Primates, Cercopithecidae. The record is from RefSeq and is a predicted model, not a curated record.